GCCUUCGUGGUGUAACGGUAGCACGCUGGGCCUGUAUUCCAGAAGUCCGUGGUUCGAUUCCUGGCGAAGGUG
Molecule: transfer RNA, 72 nt
Filed under: Stegodyphus dumicola
Lineage: Eukaryota; Metazoa; Arthropoda; Arachnida; Araneae; Eresidae
Description: tRNA-Thr
Rfam family: tRNA
About the family: Transfer RNA (tRNA) molecules are approximately 80 nucleotides in length. Their secondary structure includes four short double-helical elements and three loops (D, anti-codon, and T loops). Further hydrogen bonds mediate the characteristic L-shaped molecular structure. tRNAs have two regions of fundamental functional importance: the anti-codon, which is responsible for specific mRNA codon recognition, and the 3' end, to which the tRNAs corresponding amino acid is attached (by aminoacyl-tRNA synthetases). tRNAs cope with the degeneracy of the genetic code in two manners: having more than one tRNA (with a specific anti-codon) for a particular amino acid; and 'wobble' base-pairing, i.e. permitting non-standard base-pairing at the 3rd anti-codon position.
Source: RNAcentral